This 200-nucleotide ribosomal RNA is filed under the name uncultured bacterium. RNAcentral's name for it is "partial 16S ribosomal RNA". It matches the Rfam family "Bacterial small subunit ribosomal RNA", at positions 524 to 723 of the family's 1533-position model. The record is from RNAcentral.
UACGGAGGAUCCAAGCGUUAUCCGGAAUCAUUGGGUUUAAAGGGUCCGUAGGUGGAUAAUUAAGUCAGGGGUGAAAGUUUGCAGCUCAACUGUAAAAUUGCCUUUGAUAGUCUGUUAUCUGAAUUAUUGUGAAGUGGUUAGAAUAUGUAGUGUAGCGGUGAAAUGCAUAGAUAUUACAUAGAAUACCAAUUGCGAAGGCA